Molecule: non-coding RNA, 5932 nt
Organism: Meleagris gallopavo (turkey)
Lineage: Eukaryota; Metazoa; Chordata; Aves; Galliformes; Phasianidae
Source: RefSeq, a predicted model, not a curated record
CUCUGGUUGUCACUACGAGCUGCAGCCGCGCUGCCAGGAAGGAGGACGGGCUGAGGAUCUGCCUUGCUCCCACAGCAGCACGCUGCUGGGAUGGGCUGCAGGAGGCAGUGUGCCCAGGGGGCACAGCCCCAGCGUCCAGCCUGCCUUCUUCGGGCCGUGCCAGCCUGCACUCCUGUGCUCGUGUACUCCUACAGUGCUGUAGGAAUAGUGCACAGUGUCACUGUACACAUGAGGCACCUCGGCAUGCUGUGAUCUGGGAUUUCACCGCACAGUGAUCUUUAUCUUUUGCCUGGGCAGUGUUCUGUAAGAGCAGAGAACAGUGAGUUUCCAGCUUGUUUCCAUUCCUGAAUUGUCUCCUUUCCAAGAAAUUAACUGCCAUCUUAAAUUCCUGAUAUCCUCUCCUUCGUAUCCAAAAUAACUGUUUGUGUCUUUUAAAUGUUGCUGGUUGCUGAGUCUCAGUAACAAAACGCACUGACUGUCAUCUGCUCAAGAUCUUCACAGCGAUUACUUUUUUGUUAGUUAGAAUUAAUUUGUUACUGUUAUUUAACGACCUCACAACUACACUGCAAUUGGAAAACGAACACAGCCGCCAUUUCUCUGAUACCAGCCUGCUCUGGUGCACGUUGUCUUGUUCUAUAAAAGAAAGAAUCCAGUGACAGCUGUGGGACCUCAAACCUGAGAUGCCCCUCAUGGCAGUGCUGCCUGGUUCAUUCCCUGAUGGGCAGUACUGGCACUGGUGGAAGCAAAGGCGUUGUGCUGCUACAGCUGCAGCCAGAGCUCCCUGCCCACAGCUCUAAGCACACCUCCUUUUCCUCCCUGCUCCCGCAGCUCUAGCAAUUGUAUCUGUUGCUGUGAAAACCUGGCAGCUCCCCGCAGCAGCAGCUAUGGCUGUCUCCAUUGUACAGAGGAGGAAGAUGAAACACAGAAGAAAAUUAAUCUCUGAUUUAAUUAUUCUGCUUUUAGGAGCAAUGAGACCCACUGAUGAUACAGUGUGCUGCUGUCUUAUUGCUUGUUUAAAGAAUCUCACUGAACUCAAAAUAGAAACUGAGGAGUGUGGCAGCAUGCAGUGAUUAAGUUACAUUAGAAAGCAGUGAGCAAAUGUGCAAGGAACUAAAGACAUUAAGCUGGUGCUCUUAAUCUCCUCCAGAGACAUUAAACUCCGAGUAUUAAAAGUGAAAUAACAUUCAUAACUUUGUAAAGGUCAGAGCUUAGGCUGAUGUAAAAGCACUAUGGCAGCACGACUAAAGGCCAUGGUUGUGGCUGGUGGCAAAGGGUCUUGUGGGGAGGAAACACGGAGGGAGAUUCAGCUGUUGGUAACAAGGAAGCUCACAAAGGAGAUGCAGGUUCAACACCGUGAAGAUCUUCCAAAAGUAGCAAGAGUGAAACGAGGAACUCUUGGACAGGGGUACAGAUGCAGUGCUGCCUUCUGCAAUGAAGGGAGCUGCUCUGUGUGACUGGUGGUGGUAGAGGCGUGUGGGACAGAAGGUUGUGUGCUCUUACACUAACUUCCACUUGCACAGUUUAAUAUUGAAUUUUUUUUUUUGUUUGAGAAACUAAAUGUGCAUCUGAAAGCAGUUGACAUUAAUAGAAUAUGCCUUCAGGCAAACGUCAUUGGUGUUGCUGGGCUCUAGUUAGCCCAGCUAUUGUUUAAGUCGGUUGCAAACCAGUUGGGUUCUGCCUAGCAUUACAGGCUGUGUGAGCUAUGGGGGUGUGUGAGCAAUACGAAGGUGUGAGGAAUCUUCUGACAGUUUUCAUUCAAUCUGUUUCCAUUUUGAAUUGGCACUUGACGAUGAAGAAUUUGGCUUCUUACUCCCGUGGUAGCUCACCACUGUGAUUUAGUUUAUUUCUAGCUUUGAUUUUUUUCCAGUUUUGGUCUGUUAUUAGUUGUAUCCUUGUCCUGCUCACACAGCAGCACUCACAGCUAAUGGGGUGAAAGCAAGGAGGGACAUUACUGUUUGCUUUUGUUACCACCUUAUCCAAGAGUAUGUAGCAGCUAAUAGUGAUUGUAAUUCAGCCUGGGAACUGCUACUCAUUUUCUGGAAGGACUGUAUGCUUGGAGAAUUAAGCCAUACUUCUUUAGGGCAGGAGUGAUUCUCCAUUAUUUUGCUAUAGCAGUUCAUCUGUACUUUUGCCAUAAUAAUUCACAAUAAUUUAAGUUCUAAAAAUGUUUAGAGUAGUUAUUUACCAUCCUAUAUUAAACGUUCUCCUAGAACUGAGUCAUUCGUGGUCUUUCAUGCCAUGUUGCUUUGCAUUGCUGACUCCAAAUUAAGAUUACUCCAUUUAAAAUGGGCUGUAUCCCCCAGGCCGUGCCCUCCAACAGCACUUCUGCUGGUGUUUCAGUACCAGCUAUGUGGCAGUAAGCACAAUAGUAGUGCUAAUGCAAGACUAUGCUCCAUCUUUGCAUAGGUGCAAAUCAUUAGCAGUCCCUUUUAGCUCAGUGUAAUGCAUUACAGUUAGAUGGGAGCUGGGACAGUGCUGCCUUCCUACUGGGGCCACGUCCCAGGAAUAAUGGGUGACCAACAGACCCCACAGAGGACUGAGGCAUUCGGCACCUUUUAGAACUAGGAGAUGCAUCUGUAUUUUGCAUGCAAAAAGAUCUUUUCUGCUUGCCUUGAAAUCCCUAAAAGAAAUGCAGAAGUUUCAGAGGGCGCCUGCUGCUUUCGUCAUGACAGCAGUGCAGCACAGCAGUGAGCUGCUGCCAGUCCCUGCCGCCCGCCUGGCAGAUGCGGGAGAGCUGCAGGAGGUCACGGAUAUGGGCAGGCAGGCUGUCCUCAUCGUGGGGUUUUCUCUUUCUCAGAAGCAGAUGAUUGAAUAGAAACAAUAGACUGCUUUCCCCAUUUGAUGAUGAAGACUGACAGUUCGUAGGAGAUGAGUCAAAGGUUACUGAUGAGAAGAUCCAUCCAGAUAAUUGCCGUAAUUGUACCCUGAGGAUGCAGCUCCUAUCACAAAGCCAGAGAUUGUGAUUCUAUUUGUAUAUAAAUACUUGGCAGAGAACUCCAUCCUUUGCCUUAAAUGAAGAGAAUUCCUUCAUGAGAUACAAAUGGAGAAAGCUCUCUUAAAUUUUCACAUUUGUGAUAGAGAGCCCUGGGAUUAGCUACAAAGGUGGUAUUUAAACCCAGACAGCCAAAUAACCAGUUGGAUGUGAUCUCUAACAAAUUACAAUGUUCUGAAAAUAAAAUUCAGCAAGUGUGACAGUCAGAUGGGGGGGUUGGCAGCACGAGCUUUGAAAAUAAAUAGUCUUUAAUUGCAGGAAAUGACAGCGAGCAGCUCCUUGGCAUCACUUCUCUCAGAGCUGUGCUGCACAGCCAGGCGGCCGGCACUCCUCCUGCUGUGUGUGGUGUAAAGCGUGUGGGCACAUGGCAGGGAUGGGGACUGAGGGUGGAGGGUUUGCCACGAGGGCCCCGUGCAGCUCUGAGAGCUGUGUCCUGUGACUGUAGUGGAAAUGGUACAUCAUGGCUUGAAGCAGUGAUGGAGCACCUGGUGAGAAGGCAGAGCCAACCCAGGUGAGCUCAGAUGUAAGCAAUGCAUCUGAGUGAUGGAAAGGCUGGAGCCAGGAUCCACCCCUUCCAGCCCUCAUUUAAGGGCUGGCAGUGAAAGUGAAGGUAUCUCAUUUGGAGAUGCCUGUGUAUGACAGCAUUUCACAGGUAACCUGAAGGUAAGCAGCUUCUUUCUCUUAUUUCUGCACCCGCUGUUAUCACGUCUAAGCAGGUCUUCACUUGCUGAAGUCUGAGACCUUGCUGCUCUUCCAUCUUGUUAUAUUUUCUUUUCUAUCAUGUCAUAGCAUUGCAAGGUGGGCAGACAGUGAGAAGUGUGGGCACAGAGGGCUGUGGAACCUUUUUUUUUUCCUUCAGGAACCUUGGCAAAAUAAAUAAAUAAAAGUGGAACUCUGUUCAUCUCUCAUGUACUGAUUGCUCCCUCGUGUGACCCUUCUAAAUGGAGAUGACUUAUGGAAAAGGAUUCCCAUCUAUGACCAUCUGUGGUGAUAAAAUCCUCCUGGGACACUCGGGGCAGACCGGGAUGCUUUCAGCAAGAAGCAAUGCUCAUUUGUUGUGCUCACUUGUGAGUGAUAAAGGCCACACCAAGGCCAUGCCAGCCAGUUAUACUCUGUGAUGCCACCGCUGAAGAUACUCUGACUGCUGUCAGUGGAGUGAGAGAUGGACUGCACCUGAAUAUUUCUAACGAGAGUUAAAUGUGAUCUCAAAUCGAAUUCUUAUGGCUGCUGGAAUAACCAUGAGAAACAACAGCACUUGGAGGAAGGACCAGGCACCAUACGUGUGACUUAUCUGACAUAGAAUGACGUAGAUGUCUUAAAUGGGGCCCAAAAGGCCACCUGAGAUUGUGCCUCGAGUGCUGCUGUCAGAAAGGUGGACGGGAAAGGAAACUUGAACUCUCGGUGCUAUUGGCACCGGGAGAGGAUAAUCCUGUUUAUUCGGUCAUCCAAAGCACUGAUGAUGAUCUGAGAUAACCGGUGGCUGAGAGCAGCCAGGAGGUGCUCCGUGCCUGGAUGGAUGAGUCAGAUGCUCAGCACUGCAGCCCCAACAGGGUGUGGAGAAAGCCCCAACCAUCCUCACAAAGACAACAGAAACCAACCAGGUGUUUGGGGCCCUGCAGGUUGGAUUUUCAUGUGUGGCUGUUUGAUGAGCCCUGAAUGGCAGAAUUCUUGCUCUCCAAACUUUCUCCCUCUGCACCCGAAGAGUCAGUGCUGAACACUGUGCUCCUCCUGACGGUGCUUCAGGGCUCCUCGUGCAGAGCUCCGUGCUGCAGCACAGCCCUGAAGGCAAAGGCUUCAUCUCUGCUGAAGGCACCGCUGCUGCACUCCGGCCACCAGACUGAAGUAGUGGCUGCACUGCCCCGAAGGCACCACGUGUUGGGUACGUAGCACCAUUUCCUUAUUGGUGUUGGUAAGAAAGAAAAGGUGUCGUAUGGCGGCUGCAGACCGCUGCGGCUCUGUGGAUCCCUUCUAAAGAGACAGCAAGAGUUACCCAGCAUGAGCAAGGCUUCUGGCACCGGCACAACGAUUACAGUGGUUCUGCAGGUGACAGCAGUUCUGCAAUCAGCCCGCAGGGAGCAGCAGAGCGGUACCGGGCUGCUUUCCUCCCGGAGCCCCUGGGGGCUGGCAGUGCCUAGGAAUGGACCUGCAGACCCUCAGGAGGGAGUGCGCGUCCCCAGCGACCUGAGGGCAUCACACCGUGCUGCAGCGAGCACAGCCGGGGCUGUCCGUGUGGCCACAUCCGAGCAGGGCCAGAUCUGAUGUGACAGCUGCUGCCCUGCACAGCAGCAGCAUGGGACCAGCAGGAGAGCAGCGGCUGUGUGGCUUCACAAGCGUAAGCACGAGGCAGGAGCUGACAGCCCCACCUGCACUUACAUCUUGCUCAGCCUGAUGCCAACAUCUGGUGAGUUUCCAUUCUUCCCCUGUGCUCACGGUGGGGAACGGGCCUUAAUUUAACCCCACUGCCCCGUUACACAAAGCAGACAGCUGGGUGCCUGACUGUGCUGCUACAACAAGUGUUUUCCUGUUGGCCAAAGUUCAAAUCAAUCAGAAGGUCGAGCUUGUUGCAGGCUGACUAUCGGCGCAGUGAGUGAUAAGAGAGGAGAUGGCUCCGGAAGCCCAUUCCAGGUGCUGGAGCUGAGCCAGCCUGGCUGUGGAAGGGCUGCAGACAGCACUGAUACUGGAACCCAGCGGCUGCUCUCAAGCUGAGGGUAGCUGACGGGAAUUCUUGACAAAUUCUAUAAGAGAAAACUUCAGCACUUCAGAGACCAGUGCCGCAGUUUGCACGGCUGCUGCGUUGAGCAAUGUGAUGACAUUGCUUUAGAAGAACAAGCAGAAAAAUAAAUUAAAUUAAAAAAAGGAGAGGGGACGAGGACUUCUUGUAAUAGGCUUCUUCUCUUUGCAUUAAGGCGGGGGACAUUUGCCAGGGAGUUAGAAAGCCCA